Molecule: ribosomal RNA, 441 nt
Filed under: uncultured bacterium
Lineage: Bacteria
Description: bacterial SSU rRNA
Rfam family: Bacterial small subunit ribosomal RNA
Source: RNAcentral
CCUACGGGCGGCUGCAGUGAGGGAUAUUGCGCAAUGGGGGAAACCCUGACGCAGCAACGCCGCGUGGGUGAAGAAGGCCUUUGGGUCGUAAAGCCCUUUUCUAGGGGAAGAGCAAGGACUGUACCCUAGGAAUAAGUCCCGGCUAACUACGUGCCAGCAGCCGCGGUAAAACGUAGGGGGCGAGCGUUAUCCGGAUUUACUGGGCGUAAAGCGCGCGCAGGCGGCUUGGUAAGUUGGGCGUGAAAGCUUCCGGCUUAACCGGGAGAGGCCGUUCAAAACUACCAGGCUUGAGGGCGGAAGAGGGGAGUGGAAUUCCCGGUGGAGUGGUGAAAUGCGUAGAUAUCGGGAGGAACACCAGUGGCGAAAGCGGCUCCCUGGUCCGCAUCUGACGCUCAGGCGCGAAAGCGUGGGGAGCAAACGGGAUUAGAUACCCUAGUAGUC